AGUUUUUGACAAUGGGGGAAACCCUGAUCCAGCCAUCCCGCGUGUAUGAUGAAGGCCUUCGGGUUGUAAAGUACGUUUGGCAGAGCCGAAAAGUUAUCUCCUAAUACGAGAUACUGCUGACGGUAUCUGCCGCAUAAGCACCGGCUAACUACGUUCCAGCAGCCGCGGUAAUACGUACGGUGCAAGCAUUAAUCGGAAUUACUGGGCGUAAAGCGUGUGUAGGCGGUUCGGAAAGAAAGAUGUGGAAUCCCAGGGCUCAACCUUGGAACUGCAUUUUUAACUGCCGAGCUAGAGUAUGUCAGAGGGGGGUAGAAUUCCACGUGUAGCAGUGAAAUGCGUAGAUAUGUGGAGGAAUACCGAUGGCGAAGGCAGCCCCCUGGGAUAAUACUGACGCUCAGACACGAAAGCGUGGGGAGCAAACA
RNAcentral lists this ribosomal RNA (422 nucleotides) under uncultured bacterium. RNAcentral describes it as "partial 16S ribosomal RNA". It matches the Rfam family "Bacterial small subunit ribosomal RNA", at positions 359 to 774 of the family's 1533-position model. The record is from RNAcentral.